This 439-nucleotide ribosomal RNA is filed under the name uncultured bacterium. RNAcentral's name for it is "partial 16S ribosomal RNA". It matches the Rfam family "Bacterial small subunit ribosomal RNA", at positions 339 to 795 of the family's 1533-position model. The record is from RNAcentral.
CUACGGGCCGCAGCAGUGAGGAAUAUUGCACAAUGGGGGGAACCCUGAUGCAGCAACGCCGCGUGGAGGAUGACGCAUUUCGGUGUGUAAACUCCUUUUAUAUGUCAAGAAAAUGACGGUAGCAUAUGAAUAAGCACCGGCUAACUCCGUGCCAGCAGCCGCGGUAAUACGGAGGGUGCAAGCGUUACUCGGAAUCACUGGGCGUAAAGGACGCGUAGGCGGGUUGGAAAGUCAGGUGUGAAAUCCUACAGCUUAACUGUAGAACUGCACUUGAAACUACGAGCCUAGAGUAUGGGAGGGGCAGAUGGAAUUAGUGGUGUAGGGGUAAAAUCCGUAGAUAUCACUAGGAAUACCGAAAGCGAAGGCGAUCUGCUGGAACAUUACUGACGCUAAGGCGUGAAAGCGUGGGGAGCAAACGGGAUUAGAAACCCCAGUAGUC